GUUUGAGCGGGUUUUGAGGUGGUUAUGGAGGUCCACCAUGGAUCUGAGUAGGUUUGGCGUCAAAACCUUCUUGAUGGACGUGGUUAUGGAGGUCCACCAUGGGUUUGAGAUGGUUUGAGGGGGGCUUGUGGAGGUUUGAGUGGGUUUUGAGGUGGUUAUGGAGGUCCACCAUGGAUCUCAGGGGGUUUCAUGGGGAUUUGUGGAGGUUUGAGUGGGUUUUGAGGUGGUUAUGGAGGUCCACCAUGGAUCUGAGUAGGUUUGGUGUCAAAACCUUCUUGAUGGACGUGGUUAUGGAGGUCCACCAUAGGUUUGAGUAGGUUUGAUGGUGGUUUGAAUGGGUUUGAGUGGGUUUUGAGGUAGUUAUGGAGGUCUACCAGGGGUUUGAGAUGGUUUGAGUGGGUUUUGAGGUGGUUAUGGAGGUCUACCAGGGGUUUGAGAUGGUUUGAGUGGGUUUUGAGGUGGUUAUGGAGGUCUACCAUGGGGUUUGAGACCAGAAGUUCUUGAUGGACGUGGUUAUGGAGGUCUACCAUGGAU
Molecule: long non-coding RNA, 534 nt
Organism: Melospiza melodia melodia
Lineage: Eukaryota; Metazoa; Chordata; Aves; Passeriformes; Passerellidae
Exons: 3
Source: RefSeq, a predicted model, not a curated record